CCUACGGGUGGCUGCAGUGGGGAAUAUUGGACAAUGGGCGAAAGCCUGAUCCAGCCAUGCCGCGUGUGUGAAGAAGGCCUUCGGGUUGUAAAGCACUUUCAGUGGGGAAGAAAGCCUUGGGGCUAAUACCCUCGAGGAAGGACAUCACCCACAGAAGAAGCACCGGCUAACUCCGUGCCAGCAGCCGCGGUAAUACGGAGGGUGCGAGCGUUAAUCGGAAUUACUGGGCGUAAAGCGCGCGUAGGCGGUCUGAUAAGCCGGUUGUGAAAGCCCCGGGCUCAACCUGGGAACGGCAUCCGGAACUGCCAGGCUAGAGUGCAGGAGAGGAAGGUAGAAUUCCCGGUGUAGCGGUGAAAUGCGUAGAGAUCGGGAGGAAUACCAGUGGCGAAGGCGGUCUUCUGGACUGACACUGACGCUGAGGUGCGAAAGCGUGGGUAGCAAACAGGAUUAGAUACCCUAGUAGUC
This 465-nucleotide ribosomal RNA is filed under the name Vreelandella stevensii. RNAcentral describes it as "partial 16S ribosomal RNA". It matches the Rfam family "Bacterial small subunit ribosomal RNA", at positions 338 to 795 of the family's 1533-position model. The record is from RNAcentral. Lineage: Bacteria; Pseudomonadati; Pseudomonadota; Gammaproteobacteria; Oceanospirillales; Halomonadaceae.